UGGGGAAUAUUGCACAAUGGGGGAAACCCUGAUGCAGCGACGCCGCGUGAACGAAGAAGGUAUUCGUAUCGUAAAGUUCUGUCCUAUGGGAAGAUAAUGACAGUACCAUAGAAGAAAGCUCCGGCUAAAUACGUGCCAGCAGCCGCGGUAAUACGUAUGGAGCGAGCGUUGUCCGGAAUUAUUGGGCGUAAAAGGUACGCAGGCGAUUUAAUAAGUCGAAUGUUAAAGAUCGGGGCUCAACCCCGCAAAGCAUUGGAAACUGAUAAACUUGAGUAGUGGAGAGGAAAGUGGAAUUCCUAGUGUAGUGGUGAAAUACGUAGAUAUUAGGAGGAAUACCAGUAGCGAAGGCGACAUUCUGGACACAAACUGACGCUGAGGUACGAAAGCGUGGGGAGCAAACAGG
RNAcentral lists this ribosomal RNA (403 nucleotides) under bacterium. RNAcentral describes it as "partial 16S ribosomal RNA". It matches the Rfam family "Bacterial small subunit ribosomal RNA", at positions 355 to 776 of the family's 1533-position model. The record is from RNAcentral.